RNAcentral lists this ribosomal RNA (490 nucleotides) under uncultured bacterium. RNAcentral describes it as "partial 16S ribosomal RNA". It matches the Rfam family "Bacterial small subunit ribosomal RNA", at positions 29 to 523 of the family's 1533-position model. The record is from RNAcentral.
AUUGAACGCUGGCGGCAUGCCUUACACAUGCAAGUCGAACGGGGGUAGCAAUACCCUAGUGGCGAACGGGGGAGUAAAGCACCGAAACGUACCAAGUUGGGGGGGAUAACGUAGCGAAGGUAAGGCUAAUACCGCAUCGGAACUGAGGGGGAAAGCGGGGGAUCGCAAGACCUCGCGCAAUUGGAGCGGCCGAUGUCGGAUUGGCUAGUUGGUAGGGUAAAAGCCUACCAAGGCGACGAUCCUUAGCUGGUCUGAGAGGACGACCAGCCACACUGGGACUGAGACACGGCCCAGACUCCUACGGGAGGCAGCAGUGGGGAAUUUUGGACAAUGGGCGAAAGCCUGAUCCAGCCAUGCCGCGUGAGUGAAGAAGGCCUUCGGGUUGUAAAGCUCUUUCGGACAGAAAGAAAUCGCACGGGUAAAUAAUCCGUGUGGAUGACGGUACUGUAAGAAGAAGCACCUGCUAACUACGUGCCAGCCGCCGCCGUAA